This 432-nucleotide unclassified non-coding RNA is filed under the name soil metagenome. RNAcentral describes it as "partial contains 5.8S ribosomal RNA, internal transcribed spacer 2, and large subunit ribosomal RNA". The stretch from base 1 to 120 matches the Rfam family "5.8S ribosomal RNA", at positions 35 to 154 of the family's 154-position model. The record is from RNAcentral.
GAUGAAGAACGUAGCGAAAUGCGAUACGUAAUGUGAAUUGCAGAAUUCAGUGAAUCAUCGAAUCUUUGAACGCAUAUUGCGCUCUCUGGUAUUCCGGAGAGCAUGCUUGUUUGAGUAUCAGUAAACACCUCAACUUCCAUAUCUUUUUUGAAAUGGGAGUUGGACUUGAGUGAUCCCAACGCUUUUCCUCACCGAAAAGUGGCGGGUUACUUGAAAUGCAGGUGCAGCUGGACUUUUCUCUGAGCUAUAAGCAUAUCUAUUUAGUCUGCCUAAAAAACAGAUUAUUACCUUUGCUGCAGCUAACAUAAAGGAGAUUAGUUCUUGUGCUGACUGAUGCAGGAUUCACAAAGACGGCUUCGGCCGACUUUGUAAACUCGAGCUCAAAUCAAGUAAGACUACCCGCUGAACUUAAGCAUAUCAAUAAGCGGAGGA